Molecule: ribosomal RNA, 2787 nt
Filed under: Escherichia coli
Lineage: Bacteria; Pseudomonadati; Pseudomonadota; Gammaproteobacteria; Enterobacterales; Enterobacteriaceae
Description: bacterial LSU rRNA
Rfam family: Bacterial large subunit ribosomal RNA
Source: RNAcentral
AGCGUACACGGUGGAUGCCCUGGCAGUCAGAGGCGAUGAAGGACGUGCUAAUCUGCGAUAAGCGUCGGUAAGGUGAUAUGAACCGUUAUAACCGGCGAUUUCCGAAUGGGGAAACCCAGUGUGUUUCGACACACUAUCAUUAACUGAAUCCAUAGGUUAAUGAGGCGAACCGGGGGAACUGAAACAUCUAAGUACCCCGAGGAAAAGAAAUCAACCGAGAUUCCCCCAGUAGCGGCGAGCGAACGGGGAGCAGCCCAGAGCCUGAAUCAGUGUGUGUGUUAGUGGAAGCGUCUGGAAAGGCGCGCGAUACAGGGUGACAGCCCCGUACACAAAAAUGCACAUGCUGUGAGCUCGAUGAGUAGGGCGGGACACGUGGUAUCCUGUCUGAAUAUGGGGGGACCAUCCUCCAAGGCUAAAUACUCCUGACUGACCGAUAGUGAACCAGUACCGUGAGGGAAAGGCGAAAAGAACCCCGGCGAGGGGAGUGAAAAAGAACCUGAAACCGUGUACGUACAAGCAGUGGGAGCACGCUUAGGCGUGUGACUGCGUACCUUUUGUAUAAUGGGUCAGCGACUUAUAUUCUGUAGCAAGGUUAACCGAAUAGGGGAGCCGAAGGGAAACCGAGUCUUAACUGGGCGUUAAGUUGCAGGGUAUAGACCCGAAACCCGGUGAUCUAGCCAUGGGCAGGUUGAAGGUUGGGUAACACUAACUGGAGGACCGAACCGACUAAUGUUGAAAAAUUAGCGGAUGACUUGUGGCUGGGGGUGAAAGGCCAAUCAAACCGGGAGAUAGCUGGUUCUCCCCGAAAGCUAUUUAGGUAGCGCCUCGUGAAUUCAUCUCCGGGGGUAGAGCACUGUUUCGGCAAGGGGGUCAUCCCGACUUACCAACCCGAUGCAAACUGCGAAUACCGGAGAAUGUUAUCACGGGAGACACACGGCGGGUGCUAACGUCCGUCGUGAAGAGGGAAACAACCCAGACCGCCAGCUAAGGUCCCAAAGUCAUGGUUAAGUGGGAAACGAUGUGGGAAGGCCCAGACAGCCAGGAUGUUGGCUUAGAAGCAGCCAUCAUUUAAAGAAAGCGUAAUAGCUCACUGGUCGAGUCGGCCUGCGCGGAAGAUGUAACGGGGCUAAACCAUGCACCGAAGCUGCGGCAGCGACGCUUAUGCGUUGUUGGGUAGGGGAGCGUUCUGUAAGCCUGCGAAGGUGUGCUGUGAGGCAUGCUGGAGGUAUCAGAAGUGCGAAUGCUGACAUAAGUAACGAUAAAGCGGGUGAAAAGCCCGCUCGCCGGAAGACCAAGGGUUCCUGUCCAACGUUAAUCGGGGCAGGGUGAGUCGACCCCUAAGGCGAGGCCGAAAGGCGUAGUCGAUGGGAAACAGGUUAAUAUUCCUGUACUUGGUGUUACUGCGAAGGGGGGACGGAGAAGGCUAUGUUGGCCGGGCGACGGUUGUCCCGGUUUAAGCGUGUAGGCUGGUUUUCCAGGCAAAUCCGGAAAAUCAAGGCUGAGGCGUGAUGACGAGGCACUACGGUGCUGAAGCAACAAAUGCCCUGCUUCCAGGAAAAGCCUCUAAGCAUCAGGUAACAUCAAAUCGUACCCCAAACCGACACAGGUGGUCAGGUAGAGAAUACCAAGGCGCUUGAGAGAACUCGGGUGAAGGAACUAGGCAAAAUGGUGCCGUAACUUCGGGAGAAGGCACGCUGAUAUGUAGGUGAAGUCCCUCGCGGAUGGAGCUGAAAUCAGUCGAAGAUACCAGCUGGCUGCAACUGUUUAUUAAAAACACAGCACUGUGCAAACACGAAAGUGGACGUAUACGGUGUGACGCCUGCCCGGUGCCGGAAGGUUAAUUGAUGGGGUUAGCGCAAGCGAAGCUCUUGAUCGAAGCCCCGGUAAACGGCGGCCGUAACUAUAACGGUCCUAAGGUAGCGAAAUUCCUUGUCGGGUAAGUUCCGACCUGCACGAAUGGCGUAAUGAUGGCCAGGCUGUCUCCACCCGAGACUCAGUGAAAUUGAACUCGCUGUGAAGAUGCAGUGUACCCGCGGCAAGACGGAAAGACCCCGUGAACCUUUACUAUAGCUUGACACUGAACAUUGAGCCUUGAUGUGUAGGAUAGGUGGGAGGCUUUGAAGUGUGGACGCCAGUCUGCAUGGAGCCGACCUUGAAAUACCACCCUUUAAUGUUUGAUGUUCUAACGUUGACCCGUAAUCCGGGUUGCGGACAGUGUCUGGUGGGUAGUUUGACUGGGGCGGUCUCCUCCUAAAGAGUAACGGAGGAGCACGAAGGUUGGCUAAUCCUGGUCGGACAUCAGGAGGUUAGUGCAAUGGCAUAAGCCAGCUUGACUGCGAGCGUGACGGCGCGAGCAGGUGCGAAAGCAGGUCAUAGUGAUCCGGUGGUUCUGAAUGGAAGGGCCAUCGCUCAACGGAUAAAAGGUACUCCGGGGAUAACAGGCUGAUACCGCCCAAGAGUUCAUAUCGACGGCGGUGUUUGGCACCUCGAUGUCGGCUCAUCACAUCCUGGGGCUGAAGUAGGUCCCAAGGGUAUGGCUGUUCGCCAUUUAAAGUGGUACGCGAGCUGGGUUUAGAACGUCGUGAGACAGUUCGGUCCCUAUCUGCCGUGGGCGCUGGAGAACUGAGGGGGGCUGCUCCUAGUACGAGAGGACCGGAGUGGACGCAUCACUGGUGUUCGGGUUGUCAUGCCAAUGGCACUGCCCGGUAGCUAAAUGCGGAAGAGAUAAGUGCUGAAAGCAUCUAAGCACGAAACUUGCCCCGAGAUGAGUUCUCCCUGACUCCUUGA